This 103-nucleotide microRNA precursor is filed under the name Ricinus communis (castor bean). RNAcentral's name for it is "miR399d stem-loop (rco-MIR399d)". Its record names the gene rco-MIR399d. Lineage: Eukaryota; Viridiplantae; Streptophyta; Magnoliopsida; Malpighiales; Euphorbiaceae. The record is from miRBase by way of RNAcentral.
UCGUAGGGCAUCUCUCGCUUGGCAGGCAAUGAUAUGAAGUGAAGCUAAAUUUUAGCAUUAGUUUGAUCCCAAUGGCUUGCCAAAGGAGAGCUGCCCUGUGACU